RNAcentral lists this ribosomal RNA (506 nucleotides) under uncultured bacterium. Its description in RNAcentral is "partial 16S ribosomal RNA". It matches the Rfam family "Bacterial small subunit ribosomal RNA", at positions 30 to 523 of the family's 1533-position model. The record is from RNAcentral.
AUUGAACGCUGGCGGCAGGCUUAACACAUGCAAGUCGAGCGGUAACAGAGAGAAGCUUGCUUCUCUGCUGACGAGCGGCGGACGGGUGAGUAAUGCCUAGGAAUCUGCCUAGUAGUGGGGGAUAACUUGCCGAAAGGUAAGCUAAUACCGCAUACGUCCUACGAGAGAAAGGAGGGGACCUUCGGGCCUUUCGCUAUUAGAUGAGCCUAGGUCGGAUUAGUUAGUUGGUGAGGUAAUGGCUCACCAAGACCGCGAUCCGUAACUGGUCUGAGAGGGUGAUCAGUCAGACGGGAACUGAGACACGUUCCAGACUCCUACGGGAGGCAGCAGUGGGGAAUAUUGGACAAUGGGGGGAACCCUGAUCCAGCCAUGCCGCGUGUGUGAAGAAGGUCUUAGGAUUGUAAAGCACUUUAAGGUGGGAGGAAGAGCAGUUAACUAAUAUUUGACUGUUUUGACGUUACCGACAGAAUAAGCACCGGCUAACUUCGUGCCAGCAGCCGCCGUAA